Molecule: ribosomal RNA, 510 nt
Filed under: uncultured bacterium
Lineage: Bacteria
Description: partial 16S ribosomal RNA
Rfam family: Bacterial small subunit ribosomal RNA
Source: RNAcentral
GGCGAACGCUGGCGGCGUGCUUAACACAUGCAAGUCGAACGAAGAGCGAUGGAAGCUUGCUUCUAUCAAUCUUAGUGGCGAACGGGUGAGUAACGCGUAAUCAACCUGCCCUUCAGAGGGGGACAACAGUUGGAAACGACUGCUAAUACCGCAUACGAUCUAAACUCGGCAUCGAGGAUAGAUGAAAGGUGGCCUCUACAUGUAAGCUAUCACUGAAGGAGGGGAUUGCGUCUGAUUAGCUAGUUGGAGGGGUAACGGCCCACCAAGGCGAUGAUCAGUAGCCGGUCUGAGAGGAUGAACGGCCACAUUGGGACUGAGACACGGCCCAGACUCCUACGGGAGGCAGCAGUGGGGAAUCUUCCGCAAUGGACGAAAGUCUGACAGAGCAACGCCGCGUGAGUGAUGACGGCCUUCGGGUUGUAAAGCUCUGUUAAUCGGGACGAAAGGCCUUCUUGCGAAUAGUGAGAAGGAUUGACGGUACCGGAAUAGAAAGCCACGGCUAACUACGUG